GCCCGUUAAUGGGUGAUAGCGUGCCUUUUGUAGAAUGAACCGGCGAGUUACGAUUUGUUGCAAGGUUAAGCGGAAAAAGCGGAGCCGUAGCGAAAGCGAGUCUGAAUAGGGCGCAUAAGUAACAGGUCGUAGACCCGAAACCAGGUGAUCUACCCAUGUCCAGGAUGAAGGUAAGGUAAUACUUACUGGAGGUCCGAACCCACGCACGUUGAAAAGUGCGGGGAUGAGGUGUGGGUAGCGGAGAAAUUCCAAUCGAACUUGGAGAUAGCUGGUUCUCUCCGAAAUAGCUUUAGGGCUAGCCUCGAGGUAAAGAGUCAUGGAGGUAGAGCACUGUUUGGACUAGGGGCCCUUCUCGGGUUACCGAAUUCAGAUAAACUCCGAAUGCCAUGUACUUAUACUCGGGAGUCAGACUGCGAGUGAUAAGAUCCGUAGUCGAAAGGGAAACAGCCCAGACCACCAGUUAAGGUCCCCAAAUAUAUGUUAAGUGGAAAAGGAUGUGGGGUUGCUUAGACAACCAGGAUGUUGGCUUAGAAGCAGCCACCAUUGAAAGAGUGCGUAAUAGCUCACUGGUCGAGUGACCCCGCGCCGAAAAUGUACCGGGGCUAAACAUAUUACCGAAACUGUGGAUGAACCUCUUUAGAGGUUCGUGGUAGGAGAGCGUUCUAAGGGCGGUGAAGUCAGACCGGAAGGACUGGUGGAGCGCUUAGAAGUGAGAAUGCCGGUAUGAGUAGCGAAAGAAGGGUGAGAAUCCCUUCCACCGAAUAUCUAAGGUUUCCUGAGGAAGGCUCGUCCGCUCAGGGUUAGUCGGGACCUAAGCCGAGGCCGAUAGGCGUAGGCGAUGGACAACAGGUAGAGAUUCCUGUACCAGUGCUAAUUGUUUAACCGAUGGGGUGACACAGAAGGAUAGGGAAUCGCACGAAUGGAAAUGUGCGUCCAAGCAGUGAGUGUGAGAAGUAGGCAAAUCCGCUUCUCGCGAAGCAUGAGCUGUGAUGGGGAAGGAAAUUAAGUACGGAAGUUCCUGAUU
Molecule: ribosomal RNA, 1024 nt
Filed under: Listeria monocytogenes
Lineage: Bacteria; Bacillati; Bacillota; Bacilli; Caryophanales; Listeriaceae
Description: partial 23S ribosomal RNA
Rfam family: Bacterial large subunit ribosomal RNA
Source: RNAcentral